GAGUAAUGCCUAGGAAAUUGCCCUGAUGUGGGGGAUAACCAUUGGAAACGAUGGCUAAUACCGCAUGAUGCCUACGGGCCAAAGAGGGGGACCUUCGGGCCUCUCGCGUCAGGAUAUGCCUAGGUGGGAUUAGCUAGUUGGUGAGGUAAGGGCUCACCAAGGCGACGAUCCCUAGCUGGUCUGAGAGGAUGAUCAGCCACACUGGAACUGAGACACGGUCCAGACUCCUACGGGAGGCAGCAGUGGGGAAUAUUGCACAAUGGGCGCAAGCCUGAUGCAGCCAUGCCGCGUGUGUGAAGAAGGCCUUCGGGUUGUAAAGCACUUUCAGUCGUGAGGAAGGCGGUGUAGUUAAUAGCUGCAUCG
Molecule: ribosomal RNA, 363 nt
Filed under: Vibrio parahaemolyticus
Lineage: Bacteria; Pseudomonadati; Pseudomonadota; Gammaproteobacteria; Vibrionales; Vibrionaceae
Description: bacterial SSU rRNA
Rfam family: Bacterial small subunit ribosomal RNA
Source: RNAcentral